GACGAACGCUGGCGGCGCGCUUAACACAUGCAAGUCGAACGGAAAGGCCUGCUUUCCCUUGUGGAUUGCGGGUACUCGAGUGGCGAACGGGUGAGUAACACGUGAGUGAUCUGCCCCCAACUUGGGUAUAAGCCUGGGAAACUGGGUCUAAUUCCCGAUAGGACUGCAGGGUGGUGCCUGUGGUGGAAAACGAUUUUCUAGUGGUUGGGGAUGAGCUCGCGGCCUAUCAGCUUGUUGGUGGGGUAAUGGCCUACCAAGGCGGCGACGGGUAGCCGGCCUGAGAGGGUGGACGGCCACAUUGGGACUGAGAUACGGCCCAGACGCCUACGGGAGGCAGCAGUGGGGAAUAUUGCACAAUGGGCGGAAGCCUGAUGCAGCGACGCCGCGUGGGGGAUGACGGCCUUCGGGUUGUAAACUCCUUUCGACCGGGAGGAAGCCACCUGGUUGGAAGGGUGGUGACGGUAGUGGUAGAAGAAGCACCGGCUAACUACGUG
This 494-nucleotide ribosomal RNA is filed under the name uncultured bacterium. RNAcentral describes it as "partial 16S ribosomal RNA". It matches the Rfam family "Bacterial small subunit ribosomal RNA", at positions 28 to 507 of the family's 1533-position model. The record is from RNAcentral.